This is a long non-coding RNA of Olea europaea var. sylvestris, 538 nucleotides long. RefSeq lists it as uncharacterized. Lineage: Eukaryota; Viridiplantae; Streptophyta; Magnoliopsida; Lamiales; Oleaceae. The transcript is spliced from 2 exons. The record is from RefSeq and is a predicted model, not a curated record.
ACUCAUUUCUCAAACUCAACAUUGAAUCUCACACCGCCCGUCAGGCUAGUGAAGAUAAUAGACUUGAAGAAAAGGAAGUGGUACGUGAUAAUUACAAAUUGACUGAUUUAGAUGAUGAUUUUCAUUAUGACAUGAAUGACAAAGAACAAAUUUUUGUUGGAUUAAAUUCAGAUCAUACCGUCGAUCUUUUGAGAUGUUAUGAGAAUAUUAUAAGCCCUAUCAAUGGAACAAAAUCAUAGCCUCGAGUUGUUGCUUCCCCAAUCAAACCACCAGAAUGGUUUGUGCCUAAAAAGGGAAGAAAAGAGAAGCGGAGACAUAGAUAGGAAGAAGAUGUAAUAACCCAUUCGGGGUCCAAAGCAAAGUUGAAUAAGAGGGGUACCAUGGUGAAAUGGCUGGUGUAUGGUUCAAUGAAAUUGAAAUUUUAUAUAUUGGCGUAUAGUUUAGUUUGGUUGGAAUCUCAUAUGUAACUUUUACUUUGUGGGCAAAUUUUAUACAAGUAACAUUACGCAUUUACUUCAUUUAUAGUAUCAUUUGUCAA